GGAGUUUCCUAUCGCUUCAUCCUCCUUUUUAUAGGAUUUGGACUACCUCUGAAUGCUGAUUAAUCUUUUCUAGUUGUACUCCUAUUUGACUACAUCUGAAUGUAUUAUAUAUAUAUUUAAAUGUUUGCUUGUUGUUAAUCCAGAACAUCCUUUUAUAUUUUUUUUUGAAUAGAUGCCUCCUGAAAGGCAUUCUCAUUUUUGUUGCUGUUAAUUUCUAGUUGCAGGAUCAAUCAACUUGUGUUUAUGUUUUCCCCACUAUUGGCAUCCAACAAACUGGUGCACAACACUGGCUUGUGCUCGCCUAUGGCAACUCGCGAACAGAGUGAUGAUGAUAGUGACUCACGCAGUUAAAGAAGCAUGUGGUUUUCCAGCAGUGACUAUGUGCAGCUAUGCUCUUGAUAGUGAAUGCAACAAUCUACUCUUUCCGUUCCAAAUUAUAGGUCGUUUGACUUUUUUGACACCAAGUUUGACCACUCGUCUUAUUCAAAAAAUUUAUGAAAACAUAGUCAAAUUUAACUCAUUCUUGAAGAACUUGUAUUGAUGAAGUAAGCCACAACAAAAAAAUUGAUAUUUUGCAUAAAUUUUUGAAUAAGACGAAUGGUCAAACUUGGGGGUGAAAAAAGUCAAACGAUCUAUAAUUUGGAACGGAGGGAGUAUAUGCUGCUACCUACUAUCGAACAGGUGCAUGGAUGUGUUACGACAUCGGAGAAGAUAAAACCAUUUUGGCAACUGUUGUGAAUGCCAAUCUCGACCUGCAAAGCAAGAACCAUGCUCAAAUUAUGUUGAGGCGGCUUGACAUCCGAAGAUAUUUGCAGCUCUGCAGCUCUUAUUUGUUUCAAGUGAUGUGAAGUGGCAAAUACAAUCUGAUGAAUCUAUUUGGUGCCGGAGUUUCUGUUGUGAUCCUAUGAAACUUUGUUAGCUUUUGAUCAACGACCUAUGUAACUUUGAUAGCUUCUGAUAGCUAUGAACCCAGAGAUGCAGAGUCCAUGCACAAGUUCAGUCUGUUUCUAUUUUCUAAUCUGGCUAUUUUUAACUGUUGAACCAAAUUUAGAAUAUGAUGUUUUUCCCACCAAUGGUGUUUCAA
Long non-coding RNA from Panicum virgatum (switchgrass), 1084 nucleotides. RefSeq lists it as uncharacterized. The record is from RefSeq and is a predicted model, not a curated record. Lineage: Eukaryota; Viridiplantae; Streptophyta; Magnoliopsida; Poales; Poaceae. The transcript is spliced from 2 exons.